Molecule: long non-coding RNA, 290 nt
Filed under: Manihot esculenta (cassava)
Lineage: Eukaryota; Viridiplantae; Streptophyta; Magnoliopsida; Malpighiales; Euphorbiaceae
Description: long non-coding RNA (MESC_LNC007021)
Source: RNAcentral
AAAUCGAUAUGAAUGGAAGAUGCCUCUGUAACUUAUUUUUCUCGGUCAAUCGAGUUUAUUCGUUCCAAUUUAUUGGUUUAAUCCGGUAUAAAUCUCAUAGUCGGAGAAUUCGUUUUUGCUUUAGCUUAGGAUGAGUUCAUAGGCACAGUAUAGGUUACGUAGUCAGAGUGAAAAAGAUCCAAUGUUCCAGAUCCAGAUCCGCUGCUAGUCUUUGCUUCACUAGUCCUUGCUUCAGUUGGUCUACCUACUGAUUGCAAGAUCCAAGGUUGGGUAUGAAGCUUUAGCUCAGU